This 253-nucleotide ribosomal RNA is filed under the name uncultured bacterium. Its description in RNAcentral is "partial 16S ribosomal RNA". It matches the Rfam family "Bacterial small subunit ribosomal RNA", at positions 524 to 776 of the family's 1533-position model. The record is from RNAcentral.
UACGUAGGGUGCAAGCGUUGUCCGGAAUUAUUGGGCGUAAAGAGCUCGUAGGCGGUCUGUCACGUCGGCUGUGAAAACCCGGGGCUCAGCCCCGGGCCUGCAGUCGAUACGGGCAGACUAGAGGGCGGUAGGGGAGACUGGAAUUCCUGGUGUAGCGGUGAAAUGCGUAGAUAUCGGGAGGAACACCAGUGGCGAAGGCGACUAUCUGGGCUGCAACUGACGCUGAGGCGCGAAGGCUAGGGUAGCAAACAGG